UAAACUUUCCGUUGGUACUAUUAAGUUGGCC
Molecule: non-coding RNA, 31 nt
Filed under: Rattus norvegicus (Norway rat)
Lineage: Eukaryota; Metazoa; Chordata; Mammalia; Rodentia; Muridae
Source: RNAcentral